Peromyscus maniculatus bairdii (prairie deer mouse) is the source of this 946-nucleotide non-coding RNA. The record is from RefSeq and is a predicted model, not a curated record. Lineage: Eukaryota; Metazoa; Chordata; Mammalia; Rodentia; Cricetidae.
AGCACCUAGCUUGGACAUGGUGAACGUGUGGUGGUAGCUGUUAGUGUCUGGUUCAAGAUACAAAAAACCUAGCUUUCCACACAAUGUAGAACACGAGUGUUUCCACAUGAUUUCCAUGUCAAUGGUAAUAUAAAUAAGGAAGAUAAAAAUCUUCAUGGGUAGUUUUGUUGUGCAAUACCACUAACAGGUAGUUCACGUGCACUGUCAUUUUUUCCCUCACAAUUCUAUGAAGUAAGAAAAUUACUAAGCCAAAUUGAAGUUGAAGAAAUGGACAGAGAUUUCAAAGCUGUUCCAAAGAGAAAGAAUUACCAGGUCAACUAGGCCCCUGGCCUGUCUCUACAAAUGACCUGUAGCUCUGACGAGCCACUUGUCUUCUUGUUCAAGGAGGCCAUGGAGACGACAUUGGAUGGGCCUUUCUAGUCUACAAACAGAAGGAUCAACACCGAAGGAAAAAUGACCUUAGUGCUUCCAAGUGAAGGCAAGGACAAUCAAGGCCUUUGACUUUUUCUCAGAAGAAACUAUCUGGGAGGAACUUCACACUGUCCUUCUAGCCACUCAGUUAACUGAAGUACUUGAUAGCAAAUCCUGAGUUCAUUACACUUUAGUCCAAUCCAAAGACCAAAAGAAAAAUGGAAAACAAGGACCAGACCAAUAGAUGCAUACUCUGGUCUUUCUGGGAACUAAUCAAGGACUUCCUUUCCUCUCUAAACAUGGCUUUAUUGAAAUUACCAAUGCUCGCUUGGGGUUUUUUAAAUAGACCCACUGAAGUGGUCCCCCAACUACUAUGACCAACAACCUCUUUCAGCAAUAAGAAGCCAGAUUGAUCAUUGCCACACUUCCAUAAAGGAUUUGAGUUAGAGGUCUUCUAUAGCAUGAAUAAUGAGAACAGGGGGUAGAAAUUGGCUAAGUAAUUUAAGAUUAAAUAACAACAACAACAACACAAAAA